This 292-nucleotide transfer-messenger RNA is filed under the name bovine gut metagenome. It matches the Rfam family "transfer-messenger RNA". From Rfam's summary of the family: Bacterial tmRNA, also known as 10Sa RNA or SsrA, is named for its dual tRNA and mRNA-like properties. Its role is to liberate the mRNA from a stalled ribosome. To accomplish this part of the tmRNA is used as a reading frame that ends in a translation stop signal. The record is from RNAcentral.
GGGGGUGUAAAGGUUUCGACAGGUGUGUGGAACAAGGAUAAGCGAGCCGUGGCGGUGAUCCACGUAAAAAGUACCCGUCGGCCCCGUGUCACCUGCAGCACGGGAAUCCGGCGUCAUGCAUGCAGGGACCUCUUGCGUGAUCUCCCGGUAGCGUAAGAGUACCCACGGGAUAGCAAAACCCUGAGUUUGCCGUUUGGCGAAGGGCGAGCGAAUCAAAAGCAAUCGGCUGCGCUCGGAGAAAGUCUUUCGGAAAUGCUCUUGGACGUGGGUUCGACUCCCACCAUCUCCACCA